Molecule: ribosomal RNA, 301 nt
Filed under: uncultured bacterium
Lineage: Bacteria
Description: partial 16S ribosomal RNA
Rfam family: Bacterial small subunit ribosomal RNA
Source: RNAcentral
CAGUCGCCGCGGUAAUACAGAGGGUGCAAGCGUUAAUCAGAAUUACUGGGCGUAAAGCGCGCGUAGGUGGUUUGUUAAGUUGGAUGUGAAAGCCCCGGGCUCAACCUGGGAACUGCAUCCAAAACUGGCAAGCUAGAGUACGGUAGAGGGUGGUGGAAUUUCCUGUGUAGCGGUGAAAUGCGUAGAUAUAGGAAGGAACACCAGUGGCGAAGGCGACCACCUGGACUGAUACUGACACUGAGGUGCGAAAGCGUGGGGAGCGAACAGGAUUAGAUACCCCCGUAGUCCCUGUCUCUUAUAC